Molecule: ribosomal RNA, 1265 nt
Filed under: uncultured organism
Description: bacterial SSU rRNA
Rfam family: Bacterial small subunit ribosomal RNA
Source: RNAcentral
GAGUAGCAUGGCAGACGGGUGAGGAGCGCGUAUCUGACUGGACUCAGGCUGGGGGAUAGUCCCUCGAAAGGGGGUUGAAUACCGCAUGUGCUCGGUGCUGUGAGGGCAUCGAGGAAAGUUGGCCUCUGCGGGCACGCUGAUGGCCUGAGACAGGGAUGCGUCCUAUUAGCUAGCUGGUGGGGUAAGGGCCUACCAGGGCGACGAUGGGUAGCUGGUCUGAGAGGAUGAUCAGCCACACUGGGACUGCGACACGGCCCAGACUCCUACGGGAGGCAGCAGUGGGGAAUUUUGCGCAAUGGGCGCAAGCCUGACGCAGCAACGCCGCGUGCAUGACGACGCCUUUCGAGGUGUAAAGUGCUGUCGACCGGGACGAAGGGGCGAGGGUGAACAGCUUUCGCGCAUGACGGUACCGGUGGAGGAAGCCCCGGCUAACUCCGUGCCAGCAGCCGCGGUACGACGGAGGGGGCGAGCGUUGUUCGGACUUACUGGGCGCUCAGCGCGCGUAGGCGGUGCUGCAUGUGGUGCGUGAUAGCCCUCGGCUUAGCCGGGGACGGGCGUGCCACACUGUUGGACUGGAGUGCCGGACGGGGAUGCGGAAUUCCUGGUGGAGCGGUGCAAUGCGUAGAGAUCAGGAUGAACGUCGGUGGCGAAGGCGGCUCUCCUGGACCGGACACUGACUCUGAGGUCUGUCAGCUUUGGGAUCGAACGGGAUUAGAUACCCCGGUAGUCCACGCCGUAAACGAUGGGUACUAGGUGUGGGGCUUGUGAUGAGGCCCGUGCCGGAGCUAACGCAGUAAGUACCCCGCCUGGGGAGUACGAUCGCAAGGCUGAAACUCAAAGGAAUUGACGGGGGCCCGCACAAGCGGUGGAGCAUGUGGUUUAAUUCGACGCAACGCGCAGAACCUUACCCAGGUUUGACAUGCACCGGCACAGCGAGGAGAGUCGCUGGCCCGUUUCGGGACGGUGCACAGGUGCUGCAUGGCUGUCGUCAGCUCGUGUCGUGAGAUGUUGGGUUAAGUCCCGCAACGAGCGCAACCCCUGCCCGUAGUUGCCAACAGGUGAUGCUGGGGACUCUACGGGGACUAUCGGUGUGAAACCGGAGGAAGGUGGGGAUGACGUCAAGUCCUCAUGGCCCUUACGCCUGGGGCGACACACGUGCUACAAUGGGGCGGACAACGGGGGGCGACCCUGCGAGGGGGAGCGAAUCCCUGAAACCGUGUCUCAGUUCGGAUUGGAGUCUGCAACUCGACUCCAUGAAGGUGGAA